This 422-nucleotide ribosomal RNA is filed under the name uncultured bacterium. Its description in RNAcentral is "bacterial SSU rRNA". It matches the Rfam family "Bacterial small subunit ribosomal RNA", at positions 359 to 773 of the family's 1533-position model. The record is from RNAcentral.
GAAUUUUGGACAAUGGGGGCAACCCUGAUCCAGCCAUCCCGCGUGUGCGAUGAAGGCCUUCGGGUUGUAAAGCACUUUUGGCAGGGAAGAACAGGCUCUGGCUAAUACCUGGAGCUGCUGACGGUACCUGCAGAAUCAGCAACGGCCAACUACGUACCAGCAGCCGCGGUAAUACGUCGGGUGCAAGCGUUAAUCGGAAUUACUGGGCGGAAAGCGUGCGCAGGCGGUUCGGCAAGAAGGAUGUGAAAUCCCAGGGCUUAACCUUGGAACUGCAUUCUUAACUGCCGGGCUAGAGUAUGUCAGAGGGGGGUAGAAUUCCGCGUGUAGCAGUGAAAUGCGUAGAGAUGCGGAGGAAUACCGAUGGCGAAGGCAGCCCCCUGGGAUAAUACCGACGCUCAUGCACGAAAGCGUGGGGAGCAAAC